ACCUGUACCUCUAGUAUUUUUGCUGUCUUAACACUUUAGUCAUGGAUGUUUAACUAUUGCACCAGGUACUGGCAGCGAGCCCAGAUGGCUUAACAGAGCACGUGUGAGCAUGGGUUCGCAGGAGCGUAAGACUGUGCAGAUCUGCAAGUGGGAAUGAUUUAAAGGCAGACAAUGUGAUUUCCAUAUUCUGGUCUACACCAUUUUUCUCAAAGCCUGAGAAGUACUGUGAGAUGCGUGUGAAAAUGAUGAUCCCAUCCUCGGACUGAACCUGCAGCAGCACAGAAGGCCAGAAUCAAAACUGUGUGUAAUAAAAAAGUUCCAUAUCUAAGUCCAUGAGCAAACCUUAUGUGGAUGUAAUUUGAAAGAUGCCCAUCUCCUGUGGCUGUCAGGGAAGAGGUCGUAGGAGUGCUGAAUUCAGUCGGAAUUUUACAGACGUUUGAGGGCCCAGUCUGUUCUAGAGCACUCAGUGU
Molecule: long non-coding RNA, 470 nt
Organism: Falco peregrinus (peregrine falcon)
Lineage: Eukaryota; Metazoa; Chordata; Aves; Falconiformes; Falconidae
Exons: 3
Source: RefSeq, a predicted model, not a curated record